RNAcentral lists this ribosomal RNA (465 nucleotides) under uncultured bacterium. Its description in RNAcentral is "bacterial SSU rRNA". It matches the Rfam family "Bacterial small subunit ribosomal RNA", at positions 338 to 795 of the family's 1533-position model. The record is from RNAcentral.
CCUACGGGCCGCAGCAGUGGGGAAUAUUGCACAAUGGGCGCAAGCCUGGUGCAGCCAUGCCGCGUGUAUGAAGAAGGCCUUCGGGUUGUAAAGUACUUUCAGCGGGGAGGAAGGUGUUGUGGUUAAUAACCACAACAAUUGACGUUACCCGCAGAAGAAGCACCGGCUAACUCCGUGCCAGCAGCCGCGGUAAUACGGAGGGUGCAAGCGUUAAUCGGAAUUACUGGGCGUAAAGCGCACGCAGGCGGUCUGUCAAGUCGGAUGUGAAGUCCCCGGGCUCAACCUGGGAACUGCAUUCGAAACUGGCAGGCCAGAGUCUUGUAGAGGGGGGUAGAAUUCCAGGUGUAGCGGUGAAAUGCGUAGAGGUCUGGAGGAAUACCGGUGGCGAAGGCGGCCCCCUGGACAAAGACUGACGCUCAGGUGCGAAAGCGUGGGGAGCAAACAGGAUUAGAUACCCGGGUAGUC